UUUCUAGGAAAAACACACUUUCCGUGCGAACCCUACUCUGGUAUAUAAAAUACCGCUUGGUCGGACAUUGAAUCUUUAAUCGAUUAGAGGUUAAAUCAUUGAUAUGCUCCGUUUUGAAAUGUUUUGUUUGCUUAAAGCCUUUGGGGGGUUAAUGACCAUGUCCCGGAUAUCCAUGGCAUCAUUUACGAAAUGGCCACGACCUAAGCACGGGGUGUAGGCGUACACCCGUCAGUGCCAAAGAUAAAUAAUGUGGUGUGUCUAUUGAUCUUUAACCCGGUCUACGGAUCGGGCUACUGAACGCAUAAGGAACAUGUAAUUCUUUUACAAGAUUAUAUACAAAUAAUUAUCCCAAGUUAUAAAAAGUUUGUGCCUCGUGCAUUCAAAUCAAUUUUAUUAAACUUUUCAAAAUGAGUCGGUUGAAUGUAUUUACCAAGGUAAACUGACGUAUUUUCUCAAAAAGGUUAAGUGCAGGUACUACGCGAACUAGGCUGGCUUUCUCCUAGCGUCCACUAUAAGUCUCGCAAGCUUGGAUGUCAAAACUGUUGAACAAUGUUUCCUAUUUAUUUUUGAUCCACCUGUGGAUUAACUUCAACUAUUUGUGAUACUUGAUAUUACAAUUAUAUUCGGUUGAAAUAUAUCUAUCUUUUGCUUCCGUUGUGCAUUUAAAUAUUGUGUUGUUUGACUGUAAUGUUACCAACUAUGUCACGAUAAUCCCCCACUGGGCCCACCGGUGAAACGUGGAAAUGUCGGGGUGUGACAAUUGAGGAUGAGGUUAAUAGCAUGGUGCACAAGGGAGAAGAUAUUCUUAUGUUUAUAA
Molecule: long non-coding RNA, 817 nt
Filed under: Helianthus annuus (common sunflower)
Lineage: Eukaryota; Viridiplantae; Streptophyta; Magnoliopsida; Asterales; Asteraceae
Description: hypothetical non coding rna
Source: RNAcentral